GGGGGCGAUUUGGCUUCGACGAAGAUGCUGAACCCUGUGGCGCAUGUCGGGUUGUUGGUCCCGUAAAAAACUGGCAGUUUGUUAUAAUUGCAAACGACGACGUAGAACUAGCUUACGCUGCGUAAGUUACCCCGUUCCUGAGGUGCCCAUCCAUUGGGAGUCCGGGGCCAUUUAGAUGGGAUCGCCACUACAGGCUGGAGACUCGUGGUCUGUAGGGUUAAACAGUUACGAAUCGACCCCUUGGGCACUUUGUCCGUUCGGUUUCCUGGGGGUGCUGUCUGGACGGACUAAACAUGUAGUGCCAUUGGCUGAUGGUUUUCGGACGCGGGUUCGAGUCCCGCCGCCUCCACCA
RNAcentral lists this transfer-messenger RNA (352 nucleotides) under Mariprofundus ferrinatatus. RNAcentral describes it as "Standard tmRNA". It matches the Rfam family "transfer-messenger RNA". Rfam says of the family: Bacterial tmRNA, also known as 10Sa RNA or SsrA, is named for its dual tRNA and mRNA-like properties. The record is from Rfam by way of RNAcentral. Lineage: Bacteria; Pseudomonadati; Pseudomonadota; Candidatius Mariprofundia; Mariprofundales; Mariprofundaceae.